GAUCCUGGCUCAGGAUGAACGCUAGCUACAGGCUUAACACAUGCAAGUCGAGGGGCAGCAUGAACUUAGCUUGCUAAGUUUGAUGGCGACCGGCGCACGGGUGAGUAACACGUAUCCAACCUUCCGUUUACUCAGGGAUAGCCUUUCGAAAGAAAGAUUAAUACCUGAUAGUAUGGUGAGAUUGCAUGAUAACACCAUUAAAGAUUUAUUGGUAAACGAUGGGGAUGCUCUCUAGUAGG
RNAcentral lists this ribosomal RNA (239 nucleotides) under uncultured bacterium. RNAcentral describes it as "partial 16S ribosomal RNA". It matches the Rfam family "Bacterial small subunit ribosomal RNA", at positions 15 to 245 of the family's 1533-position model. The record is from RNAcentral.